GACAGCAGUAGCCGCGGUAAUACGUAGGUGGCAAGCGUUAUCCGGAAUUAUUGGGCGUAAAGCGCGCGUAGGCGGUUUCUUAAGUCUGAUGUGAAAGCCCACGGCUCAACCGUGGAGGGUCAUUGGAAACUGGGAAACUUGAGUGCAGAAGAGGAAAGUGGAAUUCCAUGUGUAGCGGUGAAAUGCGCAGAGAUAUGGAGGAACACCAGUGGCGAAGGCGACUUUCUGGUCUGUAACUGACGCUGAUGUGCGAGAGCGUGGGGAUCAAACAGGAUUAGAUACCCGUGUAGUCCCUGUCUCUUAUAC
RNAcentral lists this ribosomal RNA (306 nucleotides) under uncultured bacterium. Its description in RNAcentral is "partial 16S ribosomal RNA". It matches the Rfam family "Bacterial small subunit ribosomal RNA", at positions 507 to 807 of the family's 1533-position model. The record is from RNAcentral.